GGGGACAUUUCAAUUUGAGAUGAUCAGCAUAUUUACGUGCUCAGAAAAAUCAUAAAUUAAGAAUUGAGAGCAUAGGACUUUUCAUCCAUGUUGAUAGAGAAAGCUUGAAGGAAUUGCAAUGGAUGGAGAGAUGGUGAACGAUAAUCCUGAGGAUCCAAUCCAAAGAGAAAUAGACCAAUUAGAUGAAUCAAACAAGAAAACGGAGCAAAAUAUUCGAAAGCUGGAAGCAAGAGCAGCCCAAAAUGUCAACCUAUAUUUCAUAUUCCAAGCAGUGAUUCUUGCAUCAAUCACCUCUGCCUCAUCUCUCAGGUGUCAUCACUGGUGGCUUCCAUUGACCCUCUCACUUCUUGUUGCCGUCCAAAACUUGUUCACCUUUGUCAGCGCCAUGUACAAAAUUGUCAAGUCAAAAGAAGAGCUCGAUCAGGACACCUUGGACCUUGCUUUCAUCAAGUUGUACCGGAUCGAAAGGGCUCAACUCAAUCAGGUAUUGCCUGGAACUCCGUUCGAUCAACUGCAGGGUGGUUCUCAAGUCGCUAAACAAGGAAUAAUCAAAGUUUUAGGCCAAAGCCGGGCUUGUUUAGCCGGUGCAAACGCCGUUUGCUUGUUUAUUCUUCCGUUGCUCUGUUUGUUGGCUUCAGUGUCGCUAUAAUGUAUGGCUGCUACAGCCUUCUUUGCCGUUCCAAUGGGGAAAAGUGUGUGAAAGUCUGCUAAUUCAACACCUCUUUUUUCUCAGCAAGGUAAAUGGUGACCACAAGUUAAAAUUACCUUGUUGGUUGAGGCCUAAAGACUGAUUGUCAACCUCUAUAGUAGCCAUUUUCAAAAAAAAAAUAAAUAUAAGAUGAGAGUGUAUGACCUUUGCUUCUCCUCUUGCAAUGGAAUAUUUGACUUUACUUUGUUAUAGUACUAUGAAAAAAUUGUACACGUUAAGGGUUUAUAAAAAAAAAGCCCAAAAUUCAAUCACUUAUGCAAAUCUUUUCAUUUGUCAAACAAUUAGUUAAUGAUUGAUUACAGUCGCGAG
This 1018-nucleotide long non-coding RNA is filed under the name Coffea arabica (coffee). Its description in RNAcentral is "long non-coding RNA (CARA_LNC006125)". The record is from RNAcentral. Lineage: Eukaryota; Viridiplantae; Streptophyta; Magnoliopsida; Gentianales; Rubiaceae.